Molecule: non-coding RNA, 69 nt
Organism: Streptomyces autolyticus
Lineage: Bacteria; Bacillati; Actinomycetota; Actinomycetes; Kitasatosporales; Streptomycetaceae
Source: Rfam
CUUCAGCGAGCCCAGCCACAGCGGCCGCUCACGGUCCUGCCCAUAAGUGGCCAGCACAGCCUGCGCCUC